This 786-nucleotide ribosomal RNA is filed under the name Triticum aestivum (bread wheat). Its description in RNAcentral is "partial small subunit ribosomal RNA". Lineage: Eukaryota; Viridiplantae; Streptophyta; Magnoliopsida; Poales; Poaceae. The record is from RNAcentral.
AUGGUAAGCCCUGUCUCACCACACUGCGAGUUCGUGGGUUCAUGGAGCGUUUGGGCGUGUAUAAGUAAAAACUUUUCUCAUAUCAGGCAAUGGGUAUUGGAUUGGAUAUCUAAAGACUCGGAGUUCCACUUGAUGAUAUUUGCAGUAGCUAUGCGGCACAUUUGGGACAACAGGAAUUCUUGCCGAAAUGGUGAGGCCUUACCUCAUCCAUUGCGUGUAUCUGGAAAGAUUAAAGCUUAAAUUCAUUUUAUUUUGUUGAACAAUGUCAGAUCAGAAGACUCCAAUAGGCGUGAGACCUUGAAGCCAAUCAAGAAAUGGGCUCCGCCAUCGGAGGGCCUAAUGUUGAUCAAUGUAGACGCUGCGAUCUUCUCCAAUACUAGAAAAUCUGGGUAUGGCAUUGUCAUGCGUAAUCAUCUUGGGGUUAUGCAAGCUGCUCGUCGAGGCCUUGUUGAUCAUGUGCAAUGCCCCGAAGUUGCUGAAGCAGUGGCUAUACUCCAGGCGCUCAAACUGGCCGAAAGCAUAGGAGUUCAGUCAGUCAAAGUGGAGUUUGAUUGUCUUUCACUUGUUAACAAACUGCAACAGUAGGGGCUGGAUAGGACUUCAACAGGUGCCAUUGUUCAUGAUAUUAAAUUGAGAGCCAAAAAGUUUGUAUCAUGUCGAGUAUGUAAUGAGGCAGCCCAUGUUCUAGCCAAGUCGGCAGAACAUGAUUAUGGAUCCUGUUGGUUAAAUGAGCCUCCUGAGAUAAUCAAGGCAAUUAUUUGUACUGAACAAUUAAGGAAUGAAUGA